UAAUACGAAGGGGGCAAGCGUUGUUCGGAAUUACUGGGCGUAAAGGGCGCGUAGGCGGCUUACCAAGUCAGGCGUGAAAUUCCCGGGCUCAACCUGGGGGCUGCGCUUGAUACUGGUGAGCUUGAAUGCGGGAGAGGAUAGUGGAAUUCCCAGUGUAGAGGUGAAAUUCGUAGAUAUUGGGAAGAACACCGGUGGCGAAGGCGGCUAUCUGGCCCGUGAUUGACGCUGAGGCGCGAAAGCGUGGGGAGCAAACAGGA
Molecule: ribosomal RNA, 257 nt
Filed under: uncultured prokaryote
Description: partial 16S ribosomal RNA
Rfam family: Bacterial small subunit ribosomal RNA
Source: RNAcentral